Molecule: ribosomal RNA, 711 nt
Filed under: Triticum aestivum (bread wheat)
Lineage: Eukaryota; Viridiplantae; Streptophyta; Magnoliopsida; Poales; Poaceae
Description: partial small subunit ribosomal RNA
Source: RNAcentral
AUGAAGCUCCUAUGUUGGAACAUUAGGGGCUUGGGCCUCACUGGCCGGUGGAGACAGCUCAUCGAGUAUUUGUGACAAGAGGAGAUUAACAUCGUGGGCCUUUAGGAGACGAUACGCUAGGAGUUUUGUAUGCUUGAGCUCUAGGGGCUCUGUCGCCACCAGUUUGCCUGGCAGUGGUUGCCUGCUACGGGCCAAUCUGGUGGCAUUUUGCUUGGGGUCAGGGAGGAUGCCUUCUCGGUUGAGAAUAUGGACCGAGGGGAUUUCUUCCUGAGCAUGUCGAUCACAGACCGACGAGUCCACUUCAGUUGGGAGGUGAUUUUCGUCUAUGGUCUUGCAGAUCAUGGGCGCUCAGCCGCCUUCCUUACCGAGCUAAAAAAUAAGGUAGAGAGGUGCACCACUCUGGUGGUGGUGGUCGUGGACUUCAACCUCAUUAGGUGGGCUUCUAAUAAAAGCUCGCCUAAUGUUGAUCGGGUCCGCAUGCGUCUAUUCAACGAUUGCAUUGCGGACCUGCCGCUCCAUGAGAUAGCCCGCGUAGGGGCUAGGUUCACGUGUACGAAUAAGCAGGCGGACCCCAUCCGGGGUGUCUUGGCUCGGGUCUUUGUGUCGGCCCAGUGGGAAGUGAUGUUCCCACUUUUCUCUCUCAAAGCGGUCACUCGGAUUGGCUCCGACCAUACCACCUGCUUUUCUUGUUGGGGGAUGAGGCCCCCCUAG